Molecule: long non-coding RNA, 369 nt
Filed under: Elaeis guineensis (African oil palm)
Lineage: Eukaryota; Viridiplantae; Streptophyta; Magnoliopsida; Arecales; Arecaceae
Description: long non-coding RNA (EGUI_LNC002286)
Source: RNAcentral
AAAUAUUUAAGAUUAAGAUUUUAGGAUUUUAGAUCUCACUAGUAUGACCCAUUCAUGUCUCCUAAGACCAUUAUCCUAAUUUUUGAGAUUUAUCAUAAUCUUAGAUAUAAUAAGAUGCAGCUAAAAUGAUGAAUCAAUACCUCAUUUUAUUAUCAAAUAAUAAAUAUCAUUACAUGAGUUAAAAAAUUACAAAGAAAAGUUCCAUCGCAACACAUUUGCGAUUGGCUUAUAGGAUACUCUUCUUUCAAUCUCCCACUUGUACUAAAGCCAAUCACCUUUGUAUUUAAAUCCCAUAUAAUCAAGAUGGCGAUCAAAUAGCUACUGUGGUAUGGUCUUAGUGAAUGGAUUUGCUAUAUUAUUCUUUGUGUC